RNAcentral lists this ribosomal RNA (544 nucleotides) under uncultured bacterium. RNAcentral describes it as "partial 16S ribosomal RNA". It matches the Rfam family "Bacterial small subunit ribosomal RNA", at positions 355 to 888 of the family's 1533-position model. The record is from RNAcentral.
UGGGGAAUUUUGGACAAUGGGCGAAAGCCUGAUCCAGCAAUGCCGCGUGUGUGAAGAAGGCCUUCGGGUUGUAAAGCACUUUUGUCCGGAAAGAAAUCCUUGGCUCUAAUACAGUCGGGGGAUGACGGUACCGGAAGAAUAAGCACCGGCUAACUACGUGCCAGCAGCCGCGGUAAUACGUAGGGUGCAAGCGUUAAUCGGAAUUACUGGGCGUAAAGCGUGCGCAGGCGGUUUUGCUAAGACCGAUGUGAAAUCCCCGGGCUCAACCUGGGAACUGCAUUGGGUGACUGGCAGGGCUAGAGUAUGGCAGAGGGGGGUAGAAUUCCACGUGUAGCAGUGAAAUGCGUAGAGAUGUGGAGGAAUACCGAUGGCGAAGGCAGCCCCCUGGGCCAAUACUGACGCUCAUGCACGAAAGCGUGGGGGAGCAAACAGGAUUAGAUACCCCUGGUAGUCCACGCCAUAAACGAUGUCAACUGUUGUUGGGGGAUUCAUUUCCUUAGUAACGUACUAACGCGUGAAGUUGACCGCCUGGGGAGUACGGUCG